This 372-nucleotide ribosomal RNA is filed under the name uncultured organism. Its description in RNAcentral is "bacterial SSU rRNA". It matches the Rfam family "Bacterial small subunit ribosomal RNA", at positions 526 to 896 of the family's 1533-position model. The record is from RNAcentral.
CGUAGGGUGCGAGCGUUAAUCGGAAUUACUGGGCGUAAAGCGUGCGCAGGCGGUUUGUUAAGAUAGGCGUGAAAUCCCCGGGCUCAACCUGGGAACUGCGCUUAUGACUGGCAAGCUAGAGUACGGCAGAGGGGGGUGGAAUUCCACGUGUAGCAGUGAAAUGCGUAGAGAUGUGGAGGAACACCAAUGGCGAAGGCAGCCCCCUGGGUCGAUACUGACGCUCAUGCACGAAAGCGUGGGUAGCAAACAGGAUUAGAUACCCUGGUAGUCCACGCCCUAAACGAUGUCAACUAGGUGUUGGAUGGGUAAAACCAUUUAGUACCGGAGCUAACGCGUGAAGUUGACCGCCUGGGGAGUACGGCCGCAAGGUUA